GAUUAACGCUAGCGGCAGGCCUAAUACAUGCAAGUUGUACGGGAUUAUUGGUAGCAAUACUGAUAUGAGAGUAGCGCACGGGUGCGUAACACGUAUGCAACCUACCUUUAACUGGGGAAUAGCCUUCCGAAAGGAAGAUUAAUACCGCAUAACAUUGCGAAACGACAUCGUUUUGCAAUUAAACCUACGGGGGUUAGAGAUGGGCAUGCGUCCGAUUAGCUAGUUGGCGGGGAAUAGCCCACCAAGGCAACGAUCGGUAGGGGUCUGAGAGGAUGACUCCCCACACUGGUACUGAGACACGGACCAGACUCCUACGGGAGGCAGACAGUAAGGAAUAUUGG
RNAcentral lists this ribosomal RNA (341 nucleotides) under uncultured bacterium. RNAcentral describes it as "bacterial SSU rRNA". It matches the Rfam family "Bacterial small subunit ribosomal RNA", at positions 28 to 367 of the family's 1533-position model. The record is from RNAcentral.